CGAGAAGGGCGGAGAAGUGAAACGCUAAGACUUUGAUUGGUGAGACACCCUUACACUGGGCUUCCGAGAACGGCCAUUAUACUGUUGCGGAGACACUCCUUGAGAAGGGCGGAGAAGUGAACGCCAAGACUAAGGAUGGACAGACAGCAAUGCACAAGGCAGCUUUGAAGGGACACACGGCAGUGCUGGAAGUCCUUCGGGAGGGCGGGGCCGACGUGAACGCUGCAGAUGAUUAUGGCAACACGCCCCUUCACAG
This 256-nucleotide long non-coding RNA is filed under the name Penaeus japonicus. RNAcentral describes it as "uncharacterized LOC122251574". The record is from RNAcentral. Lineage: Eukaryota; Metazoa; Arthropoda; Malacostraca; Decapoda; Penaeidae.